RNAcentral lists this ribosomal RNA (441 nucleotides) under uncultured bacterium. Its description in RNAcentral is "partial 16S ribosomal RNA". It matches the Rfam family "Bacterial small subunit ribosomal RNA", at positions 338 to 795 of the family's 1533-position model. The record is from RNAcentral.
CCUACGGGAGGCAGCAGUGGGGGAUAUUGCACAAUGGGGGGAACCCUGAUGCAGCGACGCCGCGUGGGUGAAGGAGCGUUUCGGAGCGUAAAGCCCUAUCGGCAGGGAAGAAGGAGGACGGUACCUGACUAAGAAGCCCCGGCUAACUACGUGCCAGCAGCCGCGGUAAUACGGAAGGUCCGAGCGUUAUUCGGAUUUAUUGGGGUUAAAGGGAGCGUAGGCCGGUCUGUAAGAGUGCUGGGAAAGUUUGGGGCCCAACCAGGGGAGUGCUGCGCGUACUGGAGACCUUGAGUGCGCGGGAGGUAAGCGGAAUUCGUGGUGUAGCGGUGAAAUGCGUAGAUAUCAGGAAGAACACCGAUGGCGAAGGCAGCCUGCCGCAUCUAUACUGACGCUGAGGCUCGAAAGCGCGGGUAUCGAACAGGAUUAGAUACCCCGGUAGUC